Molecule: ribosomal RNA, 406 nt
Filed under: uncultured bacterium
Lineage: Bacteria
Description: partial 16S ribosomal RNA
Rfam family: Bacterial small subunit ribosomal RNA
Source: RNAcentral
AUUGAACGCUGGCGGCAGGCCUAACACAUGCAAGUCGAACGAGUGGCGGACGGGUGAGUAAUGUCUGGGAAACUGCCUGAUGGAGGGGGCUAACUACUGGAAACGGUAGCUAAUACCGCAUACCAUCAGAUGUGCCCAGUUGGGAUUAGCUUGUUGGUGGGGUAACGGCUCACCAAGGCGACGAUUCCUAGCUGGUCUGCGAGGCUGACCAGCCACACUGGAACUGAGAAACGGUCCAGACUCCUACGGGAGGCAGCAGUGGGGAAUAUUGCACAAUGGGCGCAAGCCUGAUGCAGCAACGCCGCGUGUAUGAAGAAGGCCUUCGGGUGGUAAAGUACUGUCAGCGGGGAGGCGUUACCCGCAGAAGAAGCACCGGCUAACUCCGUGCCAGCAGCCGCGGUAAUUC